UAGGGAAUCUUCGGCAAUGGGGGGAACCCUGACUGAGCAACGCCGCGUGAGUGAAGAAGGUAGUCGGAUGGGAAAGCACGGUUGGUAAGGAAGAACGAGUGUGAGAAUGGAAAGUUCAUACUGUGACGGUACUUAACCAGAAAGGGACGGCUAACUACGUGCCAGCAGCCGCGGUAAUACGUAGGUCGCGAGCGUUGGCCGGAUUUAUUGGGCGUAAAGCGAGCGCAGGCGGUUAGAUAAGUCUGAAGUUAAAGGCAGUGGCUCAACCAUUGUAGGCUUUGGGAACUGUUUAACUUGAGUGCGGAAGGGGGGAGAGGAAUUCAAUGUGUAGCGGUGAAAUGCGUAGCUAUAUGGAGAAACACCGGGGGCGAAGGCGGCUCUCUGGUCUGUAACUGACGCUGAGGCUCGAAAGCGUGGGGAGCGAACAGG
This 429-nucleotide ribosomal RNA is filed under the name Bacteroidota bacterium. RNAcentral describes it as "Bacteroidetes bacterium partial 16S ribosomal RNA". It matches the Rfam family "Bacterial small subunit ribosomal RNA", at positions 355 to 776 of the family's 1533-position model. The record is from RNAcentral. Lineage: Bacteria; Pseudomonadati; Bacteroidota.